Molecule: ribosomal RNA, 117 nt
Filed under: uncultured bacterium
Lineage: Bacteria
Description: partial 16S ribosomal RNA
Rfam family: Bacterial small subunit ribosomal RNA
Source: RNAcentral
UACGUUCCCGGGCCUUGUACACACCGCCCGUCACACCACGAAAGUCGGUAACACCCGAAGCCGGUGGCCCAACCCUUGUGGAGGGAGCCGUCGAAGGUGGGAUUGGCGAUUGGGGUG